GAAAAUGGAAGCUUGUUCCUUAAUGUAAGCGGCGGACGGGUGAGUAACACGUGGGUAACCUGCCUGUAAGACUGGGAUAACUCCGGGAAACCGGGGCUAAUACCGGAUGCUUGAUUGAACCGCAUGGUUCAAUUAUAAAAGGUGGCUUCGGCUACCACUUACAGAUGGACCCGCGGCGCAUUAGCUAGUUGGUGAGGUAACGGCUCACCAAGGCACGAUGCGUAGCCGACCUGAGAGGGUGAUCGGCCACACUGGGACUGAGACACGGCCCAGACUCCUACGGGAGGCAGCAGUAGGGAAUCUUCCGCAAUGGACGAAAGUCUGACGGAGCAACGCCGCGUGAGUGAUGAAGGUUUUCGGAUCGUAAAACUCUGUUGUUAGGGAAGAACAAGUACCGUUCGAAUAGGGCGGUACCUUGACGGUACCUAACCAGAAAGCCACGGCUAACUACGUGCCAGCAGCCGCGGUAAUACGUAGGUGGCAAGCGUUGUCCGGAAUUAUUGGGCGUAAAAAGCGCGCGCAGGCGGUUCUUAAUCUGAAGGGAAGCCCCCGGUUAACCGGGGAGGGUCAUGGAAAACU
Molecule: ribosomal RNA, 579 nt
Filed under: Bacillus subtilis
Lineage: Bacteria; Bacillati; Bacillota; Bacilli; Caryophanales; Bacillaceae
Description: bacterial SSU rRNA
Rfam family: Bacterial small subunit ribosomal RNA
Source: RNAcentral